CAUGUCAACAUGUUAUCAAUAUAAAAAAAAUUAUGGAAGAUACACUUUAGAUUUUUUUCAUGAUAAGUCUUCAAAAUCUUGGGUUUUUUUACAGCUACAGCACAACCCAGUUUGAAGCCGCCACAUCUCAACUUCAGUAGCAAUGUGUGUCUCGUGGCAGUCAUCAUAGACAGCUCAGCUGUAAGCAGUAAACUCCCUGAGGGCUCAGAACCACAACAGCCUUACUGCUCUAUCCACAGCACCAGACUGUGCUUAACUCAAAGUAAGCCAAGUAUUUGAUAUUUUUUAAAAAAAUACAAUUUUAAGGAAUAAUUGUACGGAAGAAGAAAGGGAAGCCCAGAGAGAGGAAGGGAUUGACUCCACGGUCAUAGCACUAAUUAAUGGGAAACCACUACCAGCCCUCAUCUGGAGCUAUACACCCCAGCACCUCCUGGAAACUGGCGGCAUCACUCAGGCCAGUCUUCCCCACUGGGUGAUGGCAGAUAGGGACUCACAUAUCUACUUCCAUCUGAGCACAAUUGAUCCAGUGAGAGCCUUGCUGCAGAGGGAACGGCAUUUUCCCAGGCAAUCUUUGGUCUCUCCCCUGGUGAAGAAUUAUCAUGCCAUCUGGAACAAGAACUAUGAGAUUGAAAUGGGCCAGGAAUGACAGUUUACAUUUUCUAAAAGAAGAAAAGCAAAUUUGUAAGAGGAGAUGUGACUUGUCCAAGUUCCAGACUUCACAUCCGCCGGAGUCUUCCACACCAGCACCUCCUAAGGAUCAACCCAUUUGAGCUACGUAAGUAAUUUAUGUGCCUGUUUAUCUUCAGGUGCUCUCUCUUGUUGGCAAGUGAGGUAUUCUUGUAGAAAUCUUAUGUGUGCACACAUGCAAAGGGGCAUAAAUACAUAUGAAGGCUGAUAUUUCUGAUCAUUCAAGCAUCCGUUAUCCUCUGACUCAAAUGUGUAUUAAUUCUUUGCUCGUGGUGGCUGCCCUGGUGGCUCAGAUGGUAAAGAACCCGUCUACAAUGCAGGAGAUCCAGGUUUGAUCCCUAGGUGAGGAACAUCCCCUAGAGAAGGGACUGGCUACCCAAUCCAGUAUUCUUUCCUGGAGAAUUCCAUGGACAGAGGAGCCUGGCAAGCUACAGUCCACGGGG
RNAcentral lists this long non-coding RNA (1130 nucleotides) under Capra hircus (goat). RNAcentral's name for it is "lncRNA (ENSCHIG00010017667.1)". The record is from RNAcentral. Lineage: Eukaryota; Metazoa; Chordata; Mammalia; Artiodactyla; Bovidae.